RNAcentral lists this ribosomal RNA (253 nucleotides) under uncultured bacterium. RNAcentral's name for it is "partial 16S ribosomal RNA". It matches the Rfam family "Bacterial small subunit ribosomal RNA", at positions 524 to 776 of the family's 1533-position model. The record is from RNAcentral.
UACGUAGGGGGCUAGCGUUGUCCGGAAUCAUUGGGCGUAAAGCGCGUGUAGGCGGUCCGGUAAGUCCGCUGUGAAAGUCGGGGGCUCAACCCUCGGAUGCCGGUGGAUACUGUCGGGCUUGAGUACGGAAGAGGCGAGUGGAAUUCCUGGUGUAGCGGUGAAAUGCGCAGAUAUCAGGAGGAACACCAAUUGCGAAGGCAGCUCGCUGGAACGUAACUGACGCUGAGACGCGAAAGCGUGGGGAGCAAACAGG